RNAcentral lists this ribosomal RNA (255 nucleotides) under uncultured bacterium. RNAcentral's name for it is "partial 16S ribosomal RNA". It matches the Rfam family "Bacterial small subunit ribosomal RNA", at positions 524 to 777 of the family's 1533-position model. The record is from RNAcentral.
UACAGAGGUCCCAAGCGUUGUUCGGAUUCACUGGGCGUAAAGGGUGCGUAAGGCGGUCCUAUAAGUAUGGUGUGAAAUCUCCCGGCUUAACUGGGAGGGUGCGCUAUAGACUGUGGGACUAGAGUGUGGGAGAGGAAAGUGGAAUUCCUGGUGUAGCGGUGAAAUGCGUAGAUAUCAGGAGGAACACCGGUGGUGUAAACGGCUUUCUGGACCAUAACUGACGCUGAGGCACGAAAGCGUGGGUAGCAAACAGGA